Molecule: unclassified non-coding RNA, 291 nt
Filed under: plant metagenome
Description: partial contains small subunit ribosomal RNA, internal transcribed spacer 1, and 5.8S ribosomal RNA
Rfam family: 5.8S ribosomal RNA (bases 244-291)
Source: RNAcentral
UUUCCGUAGGUGGACCUGCGGAAGGAUCAUUAAUGAGUUGUCAUGGGGUUCGAUGCUGGCAGCCAGUUUUUGGAUGCAUGUGCUUGCCCUAACAAUCAUCUUCUUCCAAACACCUGUGCACAUUUUUGAGGGAGUCUUGAGUUGGUUGCCGCUCUUGGGUGAUUUUCUCACAUUCCCUUAAAUCAUUAUACGCUAUUAACAAUGUUGAACGUGCUCUGUGCCGCAAGGCCAUUAAUAUAAUACAACUUUUAACAACGGAUCUCUUGGCUCUCGCAUCGAUGAAAACGCAGC